UACAGAGGUCUCAAGCGUUUGUUCGGAUUCAUUGGGCGUAAAGGGUGCGUAGGUGGCAUGGUAAGUCGGAUGUGAAAUCCCGGGGCUCAACCCCGGAACUGCAUUCGAUACUGCUGUGCUAGAGUACUGGAGAGGAGAUUGGAAUUUACGGUGUAGCAGUGAAAUGCGUAGAUAUCGUAAGGAAGACCAGUGGCGAAGGCGGAUCUCUGGACAGUUACUGACACUGAGGCACGAAGGCCAGGGGAGCAAACGGG
This 254-nucleotide ribosomal RNA is filed under the name uncultured bacterium. RNAcentral's name for it is "partial 16S ribosomal RNA". It matches the Rfam family "Bacterial small subunit ribosomal RNA", at positions 524 to 776 of the family's 1533-position model. The record is from RNAcentral.